UACGGAGGGGGCUAGCGUUGUUCGGAAUUACUGGGCGUAAAGCGCACUUAGGCGGAUCAGUCAGUUAGAGGUGAAAGCCCAGGGCUCAACCCUGGAACUGCCUUUAAUACUGCUGGUCUGGAGUCCGAGAGAGGUGAGUGGAAUUCCGAGUGUAGAGGUGAAAUUCGUAGAUAUUCGGAGGAACACCAGUGGCGAAGGCGGCUCACUGGACGACUGUUGACGCUGAGGUGCGAAAGCGUGGGGAGCAAACAGG
RNAcentral lists this ribosomal RNA (253 nucleotides) under uncultured bacterium. RNAcentral's name for it is "partial 16S ribosomal RNA". It matches the Rfam family "Bacterial small subunit ribosomal RNA", at positions 524 to 776 of the family's 1533-position model. The record is from RNAcentral.